Molecule: ribosomal RNA, 418 nt
Filed under: uncultured microorganism
Description: bacterial SSU rRNA
Rfam family: Archaeal small subunit ribosomal RNA
Source: RNAcentral
GCGCAGCAGGCGAGAAAACUUCACACUGUGCGAAAGCACGAUGAGGGAAUCCCAAGUGCUUGCACGUAAGUGUAAGCUGUUUCUCUGUCUAAAACGCAGAGAGAGUAAGGGCUGGGUAAGACGGGUGCCAGCCGCCGCGGUAAUACCUGCAGCUCAAGUGGUGACCGUUAUUAUUGGGCCUAAAAACGUCCGUAGCCGGUUUAAUAAAUGCCUGGGUAAAUUGUGUAGCUUAACUAUACGAAUUCCGGGUAGACUGUUAAACUUGAGACCGGGAGAAGUUAGAGGUACUCCUGGGGUAGAGGUGAAAAUUCUGUAACCCUAGGGGGACCACCAGUGGCGAAGGCGUCUAACUAGAACGGGUCUGACGGUGAGGGACGAAGCCCUGGGGCGCAAAACGGGGAUUAGAUACCCCGGUAGU